GGGCCCGCACAAGCGGAGGAACAUGUGGUUUAAUUCGAUGAUACGCGAGGAACCUUACCUGGGUUUAAAUGUAGAUUGCAUAGGGUGGAAACAUCCUUUUCCUUCGGGACUAUUUACAAGGUGCUGCAUGGUUGUCGUCAGCUCGUGCCGUGAGGUGUCGGGUUAAGUCCCAUAACGAGCGCAACCCCUAUCUUUAGUUGCCAUCAGGUCAAGCUGGGGACUCUAGAGAGACUGCCGCCGUAAGGUGAGAGGAAGGGGGGGAUGACGUCAAAUCAGCACGGCCCUUACAUCCAGGGCUACACACGUGUUACAAUGGCCGGUACAGAGGGCCGCCACAUAGUGAUAUGGAGCAAAUCUCAAAACCGGUCGUAGUUCGGAUUGGAGUCUGUAACCCGACUCCAUGAAGUUGGAUUCGCUAGUAAUCGCGCAUCAGCCAUGGCGCGGUGAAUACG
This 452-nucleotide ribosomal RNA is filed under the name uncultured Bacteroidales bacterium. RNAcentral describes it as "bacterial SSU rRNA". It matches the Rfam family "Bacterial small subunit ribosomal RNA", at positions 917 to 1370 of the family's 1533-position model. The record is from RNAcentral. Lineage: Bacteria; Pseudomonadati; Bacteroidota; Bacteroidia; Bacteroidales.